This 253-nucleotide ribosomal RNA is filed under the name uncultured bacterium. Its description in RNAcentral is "partial 16S ribosomal RNA". It matches the Rfam family "Bacterial small subunit ribosomal RNA", at positions 524 to 776 of the family's 1533-position model. The record is from RNAcentral.
GACGUAGGGCGCGAGCGUUGUCCGGAUUUAUUGGGCGUAAAGAGCUCGUAGGCGGUUUGUCGCGUCUGCUGUGAAAAUCCGGGGCUCAACCCCGGACUUGCAGUGGGUACGGGCAGACUAGAGUGUGGUAGGGGAGACUGGAAUUCCUGGUGUAGCGGUGGAAUGCGCAGAUAUCAGGAGGAACACCGAUGGCGAAGGCAGGUCUCUGGGCCACUACUGACGCUGAGAAGCGAAAGCAUGGGGAGCGAACAGG